Molecule: ribosomal RNA, 297 nt
Filed under: uncultured Pseudomonadota bacterium
Lineage: Bacteria; Pseudomonadati; Pseudomonadota
Description: uncultured proteobacterium partial 16S ribosomal RNA
Rfam family: Bacterial small subunit ribosomal RNA
Source: RNAcentral
AACGAACGCUGGCGGCAGGCCUAACACAUGCAAGUCGAACGGGUACUUUCGGGUACUAGUGGCGGACGGGUGAGUAACGCGUGGGAACGUGCCCUUUGGUUCGGAAUAGCCCAGGGAAACUUGGGGUAAUACCGGAUAAGCCCUUCGGGGGAAAGAUUUAUCGCCAAUGGAUGGGCCCGCGUCGGAUUAGCUAGUUGGUGGGGUAACGGCCCACCAAGGCGACGAUCCGUAGCUGGUCUGAGAGGAUGAUCAGCCACACUGGGACUGAGACACGGCCCAGACUCCUACGGGUGGCAG